Molecule: long non-coding RNA, 357 nt
Organism: Neofelis nebulosa (Clouded leopard)
Lineage: Eukaryota; Metazoa; Chordata; Mammalia; Carnivora; Felidae
Exons: 2
Source: RefSeq, a predicted model, not a curated record
CCUGAUGUGAGGUCAGGUGUCCAUCCUUCAUGGCUCCUCUCAGUUGCUUUUCAUGAGGAAGUAGAGAAAUCCACAUGGAAAAGAACUAAAAGCAGCCUCCAGUCAACUGCCUGCAAGAAACUGAAGUUCUUAAUCCAAAAGCCCUUGAAGAACUGAAUCUGAUCAACUGAAUUGAAUCCUGUGAGCUUAGAGGCACAUCUUUCUCCGUUUGAGCCUUCAGAUAAGACCACAGCCCUGGUUAACACCUUAAAUGCAGCAUGGGAGACCACAAAGCAGACAUCCCAGCUAAGCUGUAGCCAGAUUCUGGACUCCCAGAAAUUGUGAGAUAAUAAAUGUGUAUGGUUUUAAGCCACCAAA